Molecule: long non-coding RNA, 1614 nt
Organism: Bombus terrestris (buff-tailed bumblebee)
Lineage: Eukaryota; Metazoa; Arthropoda; Insecta; Hymenoptera; Apidae
Exons: 2
Source: RefSeq, a predicted model, not a curated record
GAUCGGAUUCCUGAUUUCUCGCGAGACGCCUUAAGUCGAGGUCCCUUUGAUAUUUAGUUAAUUUGACGAAGGUUAGAACGAGAAGAAUCACAUUCCCAAUAAGAAGCAAUCCGAUUGUUUUAUUAUCUACUUGAAAUUAAUGAUUUUAUGGGGUAAUGAUAUAGAAGUGAAUGAAGAUUGACAUUAGUGAUACUUCAUGGAAGCUUUUCUUUCUUGAUAUUUUUUUAGACAAGAGGCUGACUUCUCCGAUCUUAUAUUUAAAAGAGUAUUAACACAGUAAGAGGUUAAUUGAAACACAUGGAUGUUGAAUUGGAAUUCAAAUCAAAUUGUUGUAAAUUAAAAUUGCUGAUGAUAUUAUUGUUGUUUCAUAAAAUUGCCAAGUGGUGUCUUAAACAAUGGUCGUCUGUAGACCAAUAUUUAUUAUACUAAUAUUUCUUUCCAGUUGUUAUCGUCGUUUUGAAUGAUUUAAAUUGAUACGUCUUGUGUUAAAUAGGUCACCAAUGAUUUAUGUUUCGUUCCUCGAAAGUAUGUGAAUAAAAAUAACAGUGACAACUAGUCUUUUUUAGAGUGCCAAAAUUAAGUGAAAACAGGGACCACGAUAUUAUUAAUGUUAAAUAUAUGUGAUAUGUUUUUGAUAGUUAAACUGUUCGCUCGUGUGCGCGAUAUGCAGUGAAAUUCGAGUCCAACUCCACUUACAUUUGAAGGAACAACUUUUCUUGGAGUUUGGUUUUACGUAAGUCGCCGGUAUCAUCGGACUGAGAUCCAUAAUCAUUGACACGAGGAUAAGUAUCACCGAGGGACCCCAGCACCAUAACGAGUACCAAAAGAAUAACAUUCUGGGUUUCAUUCUUCUGUAUGUUCCACGAUCCACGUAGACACGCACCAAUGACCACAUUUCUAUGCACAUCGCAUUUAGCCAGAAGAAGCACGCGACGAAGGAGAACUGGAUGACGAAUGCUGGAAAAGCCAAUUGCUUUUUAAUUGUUCAUUUAAAAUCUCAAACCAGCACUGGUUUUUCUUCCAAAAGAAUUACAUGUUACAUCAGAUCAUUUUAUGGUAUCCCGUAAAUCGCGCUAUGUAUGGUAACGUACGUAUAGAGUACAGUAGGACUCGAUUUAUCUUUAACUUAUUAGGAAAUGAACAGCUCUGACGAUUUAGUAGUUCAGGUGAAAAUAAUAAGAGAUCGUAAAAUAAUUAUAAUAAGAGGUAAUUAGGUAAACGUAUUCGGUCGAAAAAAGUUCGUUAAAUCGAAUAGUAAAAGUAUUGGCAGAUACGCUUAUUUUUCGAUGAAAUGUUUUUUUAUCAGGUUUUACAUUAUUACAUUUUAGAUUACAUUUAAAUGCUGUAAUAAAUUUUGGAGACAUUGCACUUUGAUCCAAUAAACGGGGUUCUACUGUACUAUGUUUGGACAAGAAUAACAUUGUUUCUAAUGUUUUUUAUCAGAUUGAAUAUUUCAUCUUACCUAUACUGGUACAAGCUUGAUCCGACAACUCCAUAGUCCAUAACUGUGUAAUUGCUAACAUCGUAAAAGCCAACGCUAAGGAUCCGCAAUAACGGCACAACGCUCUUCCAAAAAUAUCUCGCAAAUUUGGUGUGAUGGAAUACGCUGCGAUG